This is a long non-coding RNA of Asparagus officinalis (garden asparagus), 637 nucleotides long. RefSeq lists it as uncharacterized. Lineage: Eukaryota; Viridiplantae; Streptophyta; Magnoliopsida; Asparagales; Asparagaceae. The transcript has 2 exons. The record is from RefSeq and is a predicted model, not a curated record.
CUGCCUUUAAAUCCUUCAUCUCCUUCUCCUCAAUCCCUCUACAACCGAUUGGACUCUAGGGUGUCGGCUGCUCAGUUCGGGUUCGAGCACUUGGUGGAUUUCACUUCGACGGGACUCCUCUCCUCCUUGAUUCUUCUUCGAAUUUCAGAUUAGCUAUGUCGACGCUUUGGACCGGCUGGAGCGCGAAUUCCGACGGUUACAAGAGUUGAAGACUGCUGGUAGCUCAACGUACACAGCCAUUUGGAUGGAAUCUCGUCUACAAGCAUGGCACGACACUCGGGCUUCGGCUGGACUUGAGAUUCAAACGCAACAAAGUCGGGUGGAUCAAAUGGAGGCCUUGGCUAUCUUGGGGAUGGCGAAGGAUGACUUGGAGCGUUCACGAGUUGUGAUAUCCGGAAAAUUGGAGCUCUCGAAACGGAAGUUAGCCAAGAUCCAACAAGAGGCUGCGAAAACAUUAUCCCUCACCGAGGAAUCCUUCAAGGUUGCAUUGCAGUGUGAGCUUGAGCGAACUUAUACAGAGGAAUUGACUAAACUUGAACAGCAAGCCUGUAGUCACAAACUUCAUGUAGAUUGAUUGUAACUCUUGUACCUGCAAACUCAAUUUUAUUAAUAGAAAAUAUGUCUUUUUCAUUCAUUA